ACAGUCUACCCGGACAGGCCG
RNAcentral lists this microRNA (21 nucleotides) under Spodoptera frugiperda (fall armyworm). RNAcentral describes it as "sfr-miR-10485-5p". RNAcentral also lists the same sequence under 1 other name. Lineage: Eukaryota; Metazoa; Arthropoda; Insecta; Lepidoptera; Noctuidae. The record is from miRBase by way of RNAcentral.